RNAcentral lists this ribosomal RNA (492 nucleotides) under uncultured bacterium. RNAcentral's name for it is "partial 16S ribosomal RNA". It matches the Rfam family "Bacterial small subunit ribosomal RNA", at positions 29 to 507 of the family's 1533-position model. The record is from RNAcentral.
ACGAACGCUGGCGGUGUGCUUAACCCCUGCAAGUGGUGCGACGAACCAGAGCUUGCUCUGGGGCAAAGCCGCGAACGGGUGAGUAACACGUGGGUAAUCUACCCCGAUGACCGGGACAACCCGAGGAAACUCGGGCUAAUACCGGAUGUGGUGCGGAGACAUAAGUCUCUUCACUAAAGGUAGCUUCGGCUUCCGCAUUGGGAGGGGCCCGCGGCCCAUUAGCUUGUUGGUGGGGUCAAGGCCUACCAAGGCAACGAUGGGUAGCUGGUCUGAGAGGACGAUCAGCCACACUGGGACUGAGACACGGCCCAGACUCCUACGGGAGGCAGCAGUGGGGAAUCUUGCGCAAUGCGCGAAAGCGUGACGCAGCAACACCGCGUGAGGGAAGAAGGCCUUAGGGUUGUAAACCUCUUUCAGAUGGGACGAAGGUUCUCCGGUGAAUAGCCGAGAGGAUUGACGGUACCGUCAGAAGAAGCUCCGGCUAACUACGUG